UACAGAGGGGGCUAGCGUUGUUCGGAAUUACUGGGCGUAAAGGGCGCGUAGGUGGCCUGUUAAGUCGAACGUGAAAUCCCCGGGCUCAACCCGGGAACUGCGUCCGAGACUGGGAGGCUUGAAUCCGGGAGAGGGAUGCGGAAUUCCAGGUGUAGCGGUGAAAUGCGUAGAUAUCUGGAGGAACACCGGUGGCGAAGGCGGCAUCCUGGACCGACACUGACGCUGAUGAGCGAAAGCCAGGGGAGCAAACGGG
Molecule: ribosomal RNA, 253 nt
Filed under: uncultured bacterium
Lineage: Bacteria
Description: partial 16S ribosomal RNA
Rfam family: Bacterial small subunit ribosomal RNA
Source: RNAcentral